Molecule: long non-coding RNA, 187 nt
Filed under: Numida meleagris (helmeted guineafowl)
Lineage: Eukaryota; Metazoa; Chordata; Aves; Galliformes; Numididae
Description: lncRNA (ENSNMEG00000014031.1)
Source: RNAcentral
AAGUCAUCGCCAGCCUAGCAGCACACAAGAAAGAAAGAACCAAGGCAGCGAAAUUACAGUACAUAUUGCCAAAUGACUCCUUAAUUAGGAAUCUUCACUAACUGAACGGUAUUUCCAUCCUCGGAAUGGAGUUACACAUGUGGAACAUGCCUUGCUCUGCCCUAUGUGCACUUCGUUCAUAUGUGUG